CUUAGACCUAACCAUUCUUCUUCAGCCGCAACAGCACAAACCCCCCUACUCAUCUUCUUCGACCAACCCCGCUGCCCCAUGCCCAUCGUUGACCACCCUUCCUCUGUCAACGAGCAGCCAUCACAUCCACCCUUCACCACCAAGCAGCGUCCCCAUCGUCGCAUCUAUCUCCAGCAGCCAUGGUUGCUGCUUCUUCUUCUUCGUUCCAGCGACGUCGAGCAACAGCUCCUUAAACCGUCGUCCAAACAGCUGCUGCGUCGACCAGCCUCCAGCGACGUCCCAAACAACCACCGUCUCCUCCACCUCACUCUAGCCCUCGUCCAUCUCCACCCAGCGUCGUUCAUGGUGGUUCUGUGGUGAGAAGCUUCCAUCUGCGUCGUUCUUCAUCAUCUUCAUCUUCCAAAACAAGGAAGCUCAACCCAACUUCGUCAACUCACCCCUCACGACCACUGCCAUCUCCGAGCUAGCCCACGACCACUUCCCCACUGUCAUACCAUGUCCAGGGACGGACAACCUGCUUCAUCUUCCGAUUUUUGUUCCAAAAUGGAGAUUGUAACACUCCUCAAAUCUAUAGAAGUUUCAAGACCCGCUAAAUAUAGAAGUUAAUUUUUAUAAAUCUUAAAUUAUACUUUUACUACAAAUAAAAAAAAUCCUUAUGAUUGAUUUUGAGUUACUUCCCUAUUUAUAAAUAGUUGGAGCAGCUAGCAAUAGUACCUUUUUCGGACAAGAUACAAAUUGACAAAGCAGAGACAACUGUGGCGAAACAUACAAGAUGAACAAAUUUGAUAACUACAAGACAAAGAGCAGAUAAGCCUUUCUUAGAACAAAACAAUCUUAAACACAGGCAUCAGGUUUUAGUAGGAGAUAGUCUUCAACGGCUUUGUUUAUAGCCAAGACCUUCUCCUUUCCUGCUUUGAUUUCAGCUGACUGCUCAAACUUCACAUCUUAUUUGUUUACUCAAGGUUGUUAAACAAGGCAACAUCUUCGAUCAAUGUGCAUUUGUAUGUGUACGUCUCCUCGUUAAGCUCAUUAACAUGAUACUUUAUGGACAUAAAAUUGCUGCAUACGCACACAAAAGAAGAAAAAAUACCAGAGUUAUCAUUUUAUCUUCAUAAAUAUUAGUAUCUACUAAGCACAUCUCAAGAAAAUCGAACUCGGUAUUCAGAAAACAACCAAACUAUGCUCAAUAUAAAGUUUUCAUAUUUCAGUGAUCAGUAAAGGGAAAUCAAGAAAACAAAUGUCAAGCAUUGUGGGGCAAGUCAUUCAUUACACAGGUAGGAUGAUUGUUUCACUCCAUUUCUUAUACAUAAUGUAAACUUUCUUGGUUUCCUUUUUUUCGCUCAUUUUCUUUUUGAGAAUUUUGGUAGUAAUUUUGAGCUAAUGAUGAUGUGUUUUUACAGCUGCUAAUGUUGGUGUUUUUACAGCUUUCCUCCGUUAUACUGAUAUCUACUUCUGCGAAGGAAAGCAACAAAUCUCUGGUGGCUUCAGCUUUGAGAAUUAAGGAAGAAGUUAAAGAGAAUGAAGGAUGCGACCGUAUUGACCUCAUUAUUGAUGAUGGUCGUGGAAAUAUCCAGAAGCUGUGAGUCACAAUGUGCUUAGGCAACUGCAGCAAAAGCACAGAGAGAGCGGAUGGAGUUCAUUCUUAGCGAAUUGCUGUAGUCAUGAUCUCGUGCUGGGGUGUAUUAUGCAGCUAGUAAUCAGAAGUAAUGUUGGUGAUGUUACAUACGUGUGCCACGUUUCAAGUAUGAGUUUGCUUGGGCAACGAGCAAGUGUGCAAUAUAAAGUUAUAGACUAUUGUGGUCAUUCUCCCUUUUUAAAAAUGAUUUGUGAAGUUGUUCCUCUGGAAAGAUUGUCUUAUGGUCUUCCACUUUGCUUUUGUAGUUUGGUGGUUGUUUCCCCUUUAAUUUCUAUAAUCCCUUCCUUCAUCUUACACCUUCUAUGAGGAUGUGAGCCUAUACAAAAAAUUGUAAGCGUAAUACGAAGCCUAGCUGUUCAAAAGCUGAUUUUGAUAGGCGCAAGGCCUUUGAUUUA
Molecule: non-coding RNA, 2031 nt
Organism: Nicotiana tabacum (common tobacco)
Lineage: Eukaryota; Viridiplantae; Streptophyta; Magnoliopsida; Solanales; Solanaceae
Source: RefSeq, a predicted model, not a curated record